GAAUUUUGGACAAUGGGCGAAAGCCUGAUCCAGCAAUGCCGCGUGCAGGAUGAAGGCUUUCGGGUUGUAAACUGCUUUUGUACGGAACGAAAAGCUUUGGGUUAAUACCUUGCAGUCAUGAAGGUACCGUAAGAAAAAGCACUGGCUAACUGCGUUCCAGCAGCCGGGGUACUACGUAGGGUGCAAGCGUUAAUCGGAAUUACUGGGCGUAAAGCGUGCGCAGGCGGUUUUGUAAGACAGAGGUGAAAUCCCCGGGCUCAACCUGGGAACUGCCUUUGUGACUGAAAGGCUAGAGUACGGCAGAGGGGGGUGGAAUUCCGCGUGUAGCAGUGAAAUGCGUAGAUAUGCGGAGGAACACCGAUGGCGAAGGCAACCCCCUGGGCCUGUACUGACGCUCAUGCACGAAAGCGUGGGGAGCAAACA
This 423-nucleotide ribosomal RNA is filed under the name uncultured bacterium. RNAcentral's name for it is "partial 16S ribosomal RNA". It matches the Rfam family "Bacterial small subunit ribosomal RNA", at positions 359 to 774 of the family's 1533-position model. The record is from RNAcentral.